UGGGGAAUAUUGCACAAUGGAGGGAACUCUGAUGCAGCGACGCCGCGUGAACGAAGAAGGCUUUCGAGUCGUAAAGUUCUUUUAUAUGGGAAGAUAAUGACGGUACCAUAAGAAAAAGCCCCGGCUAACUACGUGCCAGCAGCCGCGGUAAUACGUAGGGGGCUAGCGUUGUCCGGAAUCACUGGGCGUAAAGGGUUCGCAGGCGGAAAUGCAAGUCAGGUGUAAAAGGCAGUAGCUUAACUACUGUAAGCAUUUGAAACUGCAUAUCUUGAGAAGAGUAGAGGUAAGUGGAAUUUUUAGUGUAGCGGUGAAAUGCGUAGAUAUUAAAAAGAAUACCGGUGGCGAAGGCGACUUUCUGGACUUGAACUGACGCUGAGGCACGAAAGCGUGGGGAGCAAACAGG
This 403-nucleotide ribosomal RNA is filed under the name Verrucomicrobiota bacterium. Its description in RNAcentral is "Verrucomicrobia bacterium partial 16S ribosomal RNA". It matches the Rfam family "Bacterial small subunit ribosomal RNA", at positions 355 to 776 of the family's 1533-position model. Lineage: Bacteria; Pseudomonadati; Verrucomicrobiota. The record is from RNAcentral.